UCUGGGCAGAUGCUUGGAGUCCCACCAGCAAUGCAGAAGGCUACAGUGGGCAGUGCAGUCCACAGCACGAAAGACCUCAGAGGAAAGAAAACAGGCUGAGAAAAUGUCAGGAGAUGUGUUUAAGCUAGGGGUUUCCCGAGUACAGGCUCCAGAGCCUGGGGCGGAACAGAAGACAAGGGACAGCUUGAGGGCUGUCAGCAGUGUUCUGACCCAAAUCUGGCUCUCUUCGCCUCGCGCUUGCCCCACCGGGACCUGCUCACUGAACAACACUGGCUGUUUUCGGGCGAAGGCAAUUGAAACCGGCUGGCUACUGACACAGGAAACAACAGAUCCUGGGAAGGAGCCAGUAAGAGGAAAAGCCCAGGACUGUAAAUCCACUCUGUAGUGCCGACAGUAGCGUGUUCCUCAUCAUCCGUCAACCUGGAGGCUCUUCAUUCUCUCCCCAUGGAGUGGAGACUCACCUUUACGCGCAUGCGAUUGAAGUCCCUCCAAAGGGAUGCUCUGGAGCCCUUCGUAGUGGCUGUGUGCCUCUUCAGAUGAUGCUGACAUCUUCCGGAAGGCUGACAGUCUGACUGCAAGAAUGCUCCUCAUUUCUGAAGCACUUCCAGAAAAUACUGGGGAAUUCUCUUAAUUGACUUAAUUGAUGCCAGAUAACCUACCCCAAAUGGGAGCAGUAUGCAGUACUUUCUGGUGGCAGCACAUAUUAAAAAAAAAUAGGCAUGGCAAAAGCAAGACUUCUCACCUGUUGCUUUCGCUCUUGCCACUGAAGUUAAUUUUUCCCCUUAGCUGAUUCCAGACCAGUGUCUCCAGGCUGCCUUUGGUGACUGUUCUCCAGAACCCCCCCAUCCCCAUCCCAUCAUUCUCAAACCGAAUUUGGACUUGGACUGAAAGGGGUGAGUGGGGUUUCAGCCUCUCCAGUGUUCCAGUGUGGGACUGUCACCGUGGGGCUACUCUGAUGGCUGAGGCUUCAGCCCCAAGGACAGAGCAGUUACCAGGUGUUCUGAGCCUCUCAAGUGUGAUCCAGCUGUUGUCACUAUUUUGAAGUAAGCUGGUUUAACAAACUGGUUUUUUUUUGUUUUGUUUUGUUUUUUGUUUUUGUUUUUUCGAGACAGGGUUUCUCUGUGGCUUUGGAGGCUG
Molecule: long non-coding RNA, 1137 nt
Organism: Mesocricetus auratus (golden hamster)
Lineage: Eukaryota; Metazoa; Chordata; Mammalia; Rodentia; Cricetidae
Exons: 3
Source: RefSeq, a predicted model, not a curated record